Molecule: ribosomal RNA, 253 nt
Filed under: uncultured bacterium
Lineage: Bacteria
Description: partial 16S ribosomal RNA
Rfam family: Bacterial small subunit ribosomal RNA
Source: RNAcentral
UACGUAGGGUGCGAGCGUUGCCCGGAUUUAUUGGGCGUAAAGGGCGCGUAGGCGGCCAACUAAGUCAUACGUGAAAUCCCUCGGCUUAACCGGGGAACUGCGUCUGAUACUGGAUGGCUUGAGUUCGGGAGAGGGAUGCGGAAUUCCAGGUGUAGCGGUGAAAUGCGUAGAUAUCUGGAGGAACACCGGUGGCGAAGGCGGCAUCCUGGACCGAUACUGACGCUGAGGAGCGAAAGCCAGGGGAGCAAACGGG